Molecule: long non-coding RNA, 424 nt
Organism: Pygocentrus nattereri (red-bellied piranha)
Lineage: Eukaryota; Metazoa; Chordata; Actinopteri; Characiformes; Serrasalmidae
Source: Ensembl
GUACUGUGGAACCAGUCGGUUCCUUUAACACACAUUUGAGUGGGAUUACGAAGUACUGAAUGACGACUCCCAGAAGUUUCUUGGCCAUGUAGCCAGGCAUACUGUAGAGGAACAGGGCCACGAUGGCAAGCAGGAGCAGAGCCAGAACGAUUUUGAUGACCAGCCACUUGUACUGGUUGCAGACAAGGUGCCGGAUUGCUUUUAGUGGGCUGCUGUGCUUCUACCAGGUUUAUCUACAAUCAAAUUAUACUUUUGAUGAUUUGAGAAGGCAUUCUUUCUCUUCUAUCUAAUGUUGGUAUGUACACAUUCUUUGUCUUAUUCUGAUUAUGUAGGCCCCAACGUUACUGAAACAGUUAGGCCUCCUAAGCAGAUGUAUUCCAUAUGUUUUUGAACAUAUCUGUCUUCUGAACAAGGAGCAUUUAGU